Molecule: small nucleolar RNA, 95 nt
Filed under: Helianthus annuus (common sunflower)
Lineage: Eukaryota; Viridiplantae; Streptophyta; Magnoliopsida; Asterales; Asteraceae
Description: sRNA HanXRQr2_Chr06g0253611
Rfam family: Plant small nucleolar RNA R71
About the family: R71 is a member of the C/D box family of snoRNAs containing the C (UGAUGA) and D (CUGA) box motifs. Multiple nearly identical copies of this snoRNA have been identified in Arabidopsis, and it is thought to function as a 2'-O-ribose methylation guide for 18S ribosomal RNA.
Source: Rfam by way of RNAcentral
AUCCCAUGAUGAGGGCAAUUCUUUAUCAUCAAAUUAAAUCGCUCAAAAGCUUCAUGAAACAUUUCACCUUGUUGUUGUUAAAAGCUUCUCAAGCU